RNAcentral lists this ribosomal RNA (427 nucleotides) under uncultured bacterium. Its description in RNAcentral is "bacterial SSU rRNA". It matches the Rfam family "Bacterial small subunit ribosomal RNA", at positions 32 to 439 of the family's 1533-position model. The record is from RNAcentral.
AAUCAACGCUGGCGGCGUGCCUCAGACAUGCAAGUCGAACGAGAAAGUUCCCUUCGGGGAAUGAGUAAAGUGGCGCACGGGUGAGUAACACGUAGGUAAUCUACCUUCGGGUGGGGAAUAACCCAGGGAAACUUGGGCUAACACCGCAUAAUGCAGCGGCACCACAUGGUGACAGUUGUUAAAGCGGGGGAUUUUAGGACCUCGCGCCUGAAGAGGAGCCUGCGGCGGAUUAGCAGUUGGUAGGGUAACGGCUUACCAAGGCGACGAUCCGUAACCGGCCUGAGAGGGCGGUCGGUCACACUGACACUGACAUACGGGUCAGACUCCUACGGGAGGCAGCAGUCGGGAAUUUUGGGCAAUGGGCGAAAGCCUGACCCAGCAACGCCGCGUGAAGGAUGAAAUCCCUCGGGAUGUAAACUUCGCAAGA